RNAcentral lists this small RNA (28 nucleotides) under Bombyx mori (domestic silkworm). RNAcentral describes it as "piRNA piR-bmo-2194718". Lineage: Eukaryota; Metazoa; Arthropoda; Insecta; Lepidoptera; Bombycidae. The record is from RNAcentral.
UCGAUCACUUCAGCUGCUGCUCUGCUGC